GAUGAAGAACGCAGCGAAAUGCGAUAAGUAAUGUGAAUUGCAGAAUUCAGUGAAUCAUCGAAUCUUUGAACGCACAUUGCGCCCGCCAGUAUUCUGGCGGGCAUGCCUGUUCGAGCGUCAUUUCAACCAUCAAGCCCCCGGCUUGUGUUGGGGACCUGCGGCUGCCGCAGGCCCUGAAAACCAGUGGCGGGCUCGCUAGUCACUCCGAGCGUAGUAGUUACAUCUCGCUCAGGGCGUGCUGCGGGUUCCGGCCGUUAAAAGCCUUAUUUACCCAAGGUUGACCUCGGAUCAGGUAGGAAGACCCGCUGAACUUAAGCAUAUCAAUAAGCGGGGA
This 334-nucleotide unclassified non-coding RNA is filed under the name soil metagenome. RNAcentral describes it as "partial contains 5.8S ribosomal RNA, internal transcribed spacer 2, and large subunit ribosomal RNA". The stretch from base 1 to 120 matches the Rfam family "5.8S ribosomal RNA", at positions 35 to 154 of the family's 154-position model. The record is from RNAcentral.